AGCAGAUUCAAUGUGGGGGGUGAGAGAAGAGCAGAUUAAAGAAGCUGCAGUUUUGGAAAAUAUAAUUUUUGAUGAUGACGAUGAUUUCGAUGAGGUGGAUGGAAAUUUGAAACCUUCUUUCUAAAGAAAGUUGUUCCUAAACGAAGAGAUGGAAACUGAUGACAAGAAUUCUCAAUUUACUGAAAUACAAAACAUUCAAGAAUGUAAGAGUGACAGAAAGCUGGCAAUCAGAAGUGGGAAGAAAAGCAAGGAAGAAGACUCAACCGAUAAGUUUCAUAAUUUUAAAACUU
Long non-coding RNA from Nilaparvata lugens (brown planthopper), 290 nucleotides. RefSeq lists it as uncharacterized. The transcript has 3 exons. The record is from RefSeq and is a predicted model, not a curated record. Lineage: Eukaryota; Metazoa; Arthropoda; Insecta; Hemiptera; Delphacidae.